UACGUAGGUGACCAGCGUUGUCCGGAUUUACUUGGCGUAAAGAGCGCGCAGGCGGUCGUUCAAGUCGAGUGUGAAAGCCCCCGGCUCAACUGGGGAGGGUCAUUCGAUACUGAUCGACUCGAAGGCAGGAGAGGGAAGUGGAAUUCCCGGUGUAGUGGUGAAAUGCGUAGAUAUCGGGAGGAACACCAGUGGCGAAGGCGACUUCCUGGCCUGUUCUUGACGCUGAGGCGCGAAAGCUAGGGGAGCAAACGGG
RNAcentral lists this ribosomal RNA (253 nucleotides) under uncultured bacterium. RNAcentral describes it as "partial 16S ribosomal RNA". It matches the Rfam family "Bacterial small subunit ribosomal RNA", at positions 524 to 776 of the family's 1533-position model. The record is from RNAcentral.